Molecule: transfer RNA, 88 nt
Filed under: Spirochaeta sp.
Lineage: Bacteria; Pseudomonadati; Spirochaetota; Spirochaetia; Spirochaetales; Spirochaetaceae
Also listed under: 3 other names
Description: tRNA-Ser
Rfam family: tRNA
About the family: Transfer RNA (tRNA) molecules are approximately 80 nucleotides in length. Their secondary structure includes four short double-helical elements and three loops (D, anti-codon, and T loops). Further hydrogen bonds mediate the characteristic L-shaped molecular structure. tRNAs have two regions of fundamental functional importance: the anti-codon, which is responsible for specific mRNA codon recognition, and the 3' end, to which the tRNAs corresponding amino acid is attached (by aminoacyl-tRNA synthetases). tRNAs cope with the degeneracy of the genetic code in two manners: having more than one tRNA (with a specific anti-codon) for a particular amino acid; and 'wobble' base-pairing, i.e. permitting non-standard base-pairing at the 3rd anti-codon position.
Source: RNAcentral
GGAGAGGUGCGAGAGUGGUUGAAUCGGGCGGACUCGAAAUCCGUUGUACUGUUCUGCAGUACCGUGGGUUCGAAUCCCACCCUCUCCG